This 447-nucleotide ribosomal RNA is filed under the name uncultured bacterium. Its description in RNAcentral is "bacterial SSU rRNA". It matches the Rfam family "Bacterial small subunit ribosomal RNA", at positions 355 to 825 of the family's 1533-position model. The record is from RNAcentral.
UCGGGAAUUUUGGGCAAUGGGCGAAAGCCUGACCCAGCAACGCCGCGUGAAGGAUGAAGUAUUUCGGUAUGUAAACUUCGAAAGAAUAGGAAGAAUAAAUGACGGUACUAUUUAUAAGGUCCGGCUAACUACGUGCCAGCAGCCGCGGUAAUACGAAGGGGGCUAGCGUUGUUCGGAUUUACUGGGCGUAAAGGGCGCGUAGGCGGACAUUUAAGUCAGGGGUGAAAUCCCAGAGCUCAACUCUGGAACUGCCUUUGAUACUGGGUGUCUUGAGUGUGAGAGAGGUAUGUGGAACUCCGAGUGUAGAGGUGAAAUUCGUAGAUAUUCGGAAGAACACCAGUGGCGAAGGCGACCACCUGGACCGAUACUGACACUGAGGUGCGAAAGCGUGGGGAGCAAACAGGAUUAGAUACCCAUGUAGUCCCUGAGCGGGCUGGCAAGGCGCAU